AGAGAAACAGUGAAUUGCAACUCUUGAGCCAUUGAACAAGAAAUACACACAGCUACUAUGGGAAUUGUCACUUGUCAAAGCUAGUUCUGGUUAUGUCUUAAUGAGCUCUGAAGAUUCAUUUUGUUUUGUUUGUUUACUUAUACAGCUAGAUUAAUAGAUUUUGUGAUAUUUUUAAAGUGUAAAUCUAUUUAAUUUUAUUAGCAGUCUGGAACUAAGUUAGAGGAAUUUCUAUGUUUAUGUCAAUU
This 245-nucleotide unclassified non-coding RNA is filed under the name Hevea brasiliensis (rubber tree). Lineage: Eukaryota; Viridiplantae; Streptophyta; Magnoliopsida; Malpighiales; Euphorbiaceae. The record is from RNAcentral.